RNAcentral lists this long non-coding RNA (255 nucleotides) under Bos taurus (domestic cattle). Its description in RNAcentral is "long non-coding RNA NONBTAT016415". The record is from RNAcentral. Lineage: Eukaryota; Metazoa; Chordata; Mammalia; Artiodactyla; Bovidae.
CUGGCAUUAUCAUUCAAUAAUUAGUUAGGAAACUAAAAUUUGAUAAUAGGAGCAGUCCCCCUUCAUUUCCUUAUGAAAUAUGGAUACUUUAGAAGGAUUAAGCACCCUUUUCUGUUUUGUUCUGUUAAAAGAUUGAGGGAAUAGGAAUUUGGAGACAAAAACUCAAGUGAUUUCCUGAAUGAUAAUCACAGCUAAGAUAUGAAUGAAGAUACUCAUUAAAUGUAAUAUUUAUUCAUUGGCAUAUUAUGUCAAUGG